This 253-nucleotide ribosomal RNA is filed under the name uncultured bacterium. Its description in RNAcentral is "partial 16S ribosomal RNA". It matches the Rfam family "Bacterial small subunit ribosomal RNA", at positions 524 to 776 of the family's 1533-position model. The record is from RNAcentral.
UACGUAGGGUGCGAGCGUUGUCCGGAAUUACUGGGCGUAAAGAGCUCGUAGGUGGUUUGUCGCGUUGUUCGUGAAAACCGGGGGCUUAACCCUCGGCGUGCGGGCGAUACGGGCAGACUGGAGUACUGCAGGGGAGACUGGAAUUCCUGGUGUAGCGGUGGAAUGCGCAGAUAUCAGGAGGAACACCAAUGGCGAAGGCAGAUCUCUGGGCCGUAACUGACGCUGAGGAGCGAAAGCAUGGGGAGCGAACAGG